Molecule: ribosomal RNA, 253 nt
Filed under: uncultured bacterium
Lineage: Bacteria
Description: partial 16S ribosomal RNA
Rfam family: Bacterial small subunit ribosomal RNA
Source: RNAcentral
UACGGAGGGAGCUAGCGUUGUUCGGAAUUACUGGGCGUAAAGGGCGCGUAGGCGGCGACCCAAGUCAGAUGUGAAAGUCCUGGGCUUAACCUGGGGACUGCAUUUGAUACUGGGUUGCUUGAAUUCGGGAGAGGAUAGCGGAAUUCCCAGUGUAGAGGUGAAAUUCGUAGAUAUUGGGAAGAACACCGGUGGCGAAGGCGGCUAUCUGGACCGACAUUGACGCUGAGGCGCGAAAGCGUGGGGAGCAAACAGG